RNAcentral lists this ribosomal RNA (430 nucleotides) under uncultured bacterium. RNAcentral describes it as "partial 16S ribosomal RNA". It matches the Rfam family "Bacterial small subunit ribosomal RNA", at positions 29 to 504 of the family's 1533-position model. The record is from RNAcentral.
AACGAACGCUGGCGGCAGGCCUAACACAUGCAAGUCGAGCGAGCAUUUCGGUGCUAGCGGCGGACGGGUGAGUAACGCGUGGGAACGUGCCCUUUUCUGCGGAAUAGUCCUGGGAAACUGGGGGUAAUACCGCAUACGCCCUUUUGGGGAAAGAUUUAUCGGAGAAGGAUCGGCCCGCGUUGGAUUAGGUAGUUGGUGGGGUAAUGGCCCACCAAGCCGACGAUCCAUAGCUGGUUUGAGAGGAUGAUCAGCCACACGGGGACUGAGACACGGCCCAGACCCCCCCGGGGGGCAGGAGGGGGGAAUAUUAGACAAAGGGGGCGCCCCCGAUCUCGCCGGCGGGCGGGAGUGAGAAGGGGGGUAGAGUUGUAAAACUUUUUCAGCAGGGAAGAUAAGGGGGGUUACAGAAGAAGAACCCCCGGCUAACUCC